GAAAAAAUAAGGAAAGAGAGAGCACGGGUUGAGAGAGAGACCGAGAGGAAGAAAAAAAAAGGGGAAGAAGAAAGCCUUGUGGGAUACCAAAAUUCAAGCCUAAAAUUGUGGAAAAUUCAUCUCUAGGUCAUGCGCUAUUGUCUGCCUGAUUUAUCUGAUCUGUCCAAUCUGUCUAAUCUGCUGUUAUCUGUUCAGGUGAUAUGCCACCUCCAAGGACAUAGCUUGGGAGUUUCUGGGAGUUGAAG
Molecule: non-coding RNA, 245 nt
Organism: Camellia sinensis
Lineage: Eukaryota; Viridiplantae; Streptophyta; Magnoliopsida; Ericales; Theaceae
Source: RefSeq, a predicted model, not a curated record